RNAcentral lists this ribosomal RNA (424 nucleotides) under uncultured bacterium. RNAcentral's name for it is "bacterial SSU rRNA". It matches the Rfam family "Bacterial small subunit ribosomal RNA", at positions 61 to 526 of the family's 1533-position model. The record is from RNAcentral.
GUCGUACGAGAGUUUUUAACUCAAGUGGCGGACGGGUGAGUAACACGUAAGAAUUUGCCUUUAGGAGGGGGAUAACAACUGGAAACGGUUGCUAAUACCCCAUAUGCUUUCGAGUGAAAUGGUUUUUCCGCCUAAAGAGAAGCUUGCGGCUGAUUAGCUUGUUGGGGAGGUAAUGGCUCACCAAGGCGACGAUCAGUAUCUGGUUUGAGAGGACGAUCAGACACACUGGAACUGAGACACGGUCCAGACUCCUACGGGAGGCAGCAGUGGGGAAUUUUCCGCAAUGGGCGAAAGCCUGACGGAGCAAUACCGCGUGAGGGAUGACGGCCUAUGGGUUGUAAACCUCUUUUUUCAGGGAGGAAUAAAUGACGUGUACCUGAGGAAUAAGCAUCGGCUAACUCCGUGCCAGCAGCCGCGGUAAUAC